UAUUUUUGUGUAAAAUUACCGAAAAUUCAUGUAGUUGACUUUGACAGUUCUAAUCGUUGAACAGAUGAAGAAAUGUCAUUUGGAAUUUCCACUUGGAGCCAUUUGGAUGUCAUAACAUUUUUGCUGCUAAAGGCAAAUCCGCUUCGUGGCCAACUCUCCUUCCGUGGCCAAGUUGCUGAUGAUCGAGAACGACCCGGGAGUGGACAAGGCGAACUUCUUCUUCCUGGCCAACCAUCCAUCCAUUUUCUUCGUGGCCAAGAUUCGGAUGAUCACAAACGACCCGGGAGUGGACGAGGUGCGCAAUUUCAUCGUGGCCAACCAUCCCGCCGUGGCCAAGUUGCUGAUGAUCGAGAACGACCCGGGUGUGGAAGAGGUGCGCAUCCUCUUCGUGGCCAACCUUCCAUCCGUGGCCGAGAUGCUGAUGAACGAAAACGUCCCGGGAGUGAACAAAGUGCGCAUCCUCGUCGUGGUCAACCUUCCGAGAACGACCCGAGAGUGGAAGAGGUGAACAUCUUCUUCCUGGCCAACCUUCCUUCCGUGACCGAGAUGCUGAUGAACGAAAACGACCCGGGAGUGGACGAGGUGUGCAAUUUCAUCGUGGCCAACCUUCCCGCCGUGACCAAGUUGCUGAUGAUCGGGAACGUCUCGGAAGAUAACGAAGUGCGCAUCCGGGACCUUUUCGAUUAUCAACAGUUGGCCACAGAAGGAAGGAUGAUCACGACGAGGAUGCGCACCUCGUCCGCUCCCGAAUCGUUCUUCUCGAUAACCAGGAAAUAAAGGAAAAUAACCAGGAUCUCGGCCACGAAAGGAAGGUUGGCGACGGAGAGGAUGUGCACCUUGUUCACAACCGGGCCAUUCUUGAUCAUCCCAAUCGAACAUCGAAACAGCAAUCUGGUUAGAUUUUCACCAAUCAACGCCGGGAGUUCGAUUAGCUGCGAUAUUCAGGACUUUUUAUUCCUCGGCCACGAAACAUUCGAUCGAGAGGAAGAUUGGCCGCAAAGAGGAACCACACCCGGUCCUUUUCGAUCAUCAGCACCACGACCACGGAUGGAAGGUUGGCCAGGAAGAAGAUGUUCGCCUCGUCCACACUAGGGCUGUUCGCGAUCAUAUCGUUCACAACCGAGCAUCCACCGGAUGCUGCUCCAAGAAUUUGGGACGUCGCUUGAUUCCGUGGUGGCGCGGAAUAUACUGCGCUGCGUCGAAAAUCUGGCCUGUUUACAUGGUAGAACAACUUUAUUACUAAUAAAUCACAAAUUUUCUGCGCAAUAAAUGAAAUUGAAAAAAAAAAUCGGUUUGUUUAUGUUUAAAUUGUCAUUUCUAAUCAAAAAUAACCAACUCGAUAUCUAUCCCUGGGGUCAAAAUGGGG
RNA transcript from Culex quinquefasciatus (southern house mosquito), 1366 nucleotides. RefSeq lists it as uncharacterized. NCBI's taxonomy places the organism in Eukaryota, Metazoa, Arthropoda, Insecta, Diptera, Culicidae. The transcript is spliced from 3 exons. The record is from RefSeq and is a predicted model, not a curated record.